GUUCGUCUUCAGGGGCAGGGUGAAAAUCCCGACCGGCGGUGAUAGUCCGCGAACUGCGUAAGCAGCCGAAUCGGUGAAAAUCCGAUACCGACAGUACAGUCUGGAUAAAGAAGAUAGAG
This 119-nucleotide non-coding RNA is filed under the name Enterococcus hermanniensis. RNAcentral's name for it is "FMN sequence". It matches the Rfam family "FMN riboswitch aptamer (RFN element)". Rfam says of the family: The RFN element is a highly conserved domain that is found frequently in the 5'-untranslated regions of prokaryotic mRNAs that encode for flavin mononucleotide (FMN) biosynthesis and transport proteins. This element is a metabolite-dependent riboswitch that directly binds FMN in the absence of proteins. The record is from Rfam by way of RNAcentral. Lineage: Bacteria; Bacillati; Bacillota; Bacilli; Lactobacillales; Enterococcaceae.